GGUUAAGCGACCAAGCGUACACGGUGGAUGCCCUGGCAGUCAGAGGCGAUGAAGGGCGUGCUAAUCUGCGAUAAGCGCCGGUAAGGUGAUAUGAACCGUUAUAACCGGCGAUACCCGAAUGGGGAAACCCAGUGUGAUUCGUCACACUAUCAUUAACUGAAUCCAUAGGUUAAUGAGGCGAACCGGGGGAACUGAAACAUCUAAGUACCCCGAGGAAAAGAAAUCAACCGAGAUUCCCCCAGUAGCGGCGAGCGAACGGGGAGGAGCCCAGAGCCUGAAUCAGCAUGUGUGUUAGUGGAAGCGUCUGGAAAGGCGCGCGAUACAGGGUGA
This 330-nucleotide ribosomal RNA is filed under the name Salmonella enterica. RNAcentral's name for it is "partial 23S ribosomal RNA". It matches the Rfam family "Bacterial large subunit ribosomal RNA", at positions 1 to 367 of the family's 2925-position model. The record is from RNAcentral. Lineage: Bacteria; Pseudomonadati; Pseudomonadota; Gammaproteobacteria; Enterobacterales; Enterobacteriaceae.